AGGCUUUGAGGAUCAGGAGGAUUAGCACUGUUUUCCCGUGACAGGUUUACGAUUAAACUACAGGCUUUGCCUAUUCAGGUUGAUCAGUUGGUGCAGACGAGGCUGAGUUGAGGCUAAGUACCACGAUGUCUUUUGCUUCCGCUAAUGACUAGCUUAUCAUCUCGUCUUUUAAAUUCUCUAAAUUUAGAAUUUCUAUUAUGUGGUACAAUAUUAUCUUGUUGGGCUUAAACUCUUAUCCUAUAUUUCUAUUAAUAAAGCUAUCUUUGAUUAUGGUCAGAGUCAUGAAACUAAACUUAUGUGAUCCUGAGUUUGAAUAUUGUCAUUUGAUUGGCAGCUCUUAAGGCCUUUCAAUUUACCUCCUUUUAUUUUUGUCUCUUUGGAAUAUGAAUACCCAAUUUAAUGGGUAGAUUGUCAAGUUUAUUCUGGUUGAUUAAGACUUUCCAUUAUUUUUCCUAUUUCCUCUUGCCUUCGGAAGUCGGGCUGUUACAAGUGGUAUCAGAGCGUAAGUUUUCUUUCGUGUCUCUAACUACCGCUAGUUUAACUAUUUCUAGUCUAGAAUUGUACCUCUAGACUACUAAGCAAUUCUGCAACCCUCAGCUCACCGUCUCACUGCCUGAUCAACAAAGGUACGUUUUCAAAUAAAUGAUUUUGCUUCAAGAAAGUGCGCGCAAAUGAUUACCUUGUGAAAUACUUGAAUGAUUCCACAUAUGCAAGGAGAUAUUGUUUAUGCAAAGAAAGAAAAGUGUGAUUUCUGGACCAACGAGUCCUUACAAGAAGCAAAGUAUGUAAUCAUGAUGGGACUCUCCGAGUCCACGUGAUCUAUUUUCAGAAGAAGUAUAUUAUGAUGAGUCUCUUUGAGCUCACAUAAGCAU
Long non-coding RNA from Salvia miltiorrhiza (redroot sage), 872 nucleotides. RefSeq lists it as uncharacterized. NCBI's taxonomy places the organism in Eukaryota, Viridiplantae, Streptophyta, Magnoliopsida, Lamiales, Lamiaceae. The record is from RefSeq and is a predicted model, not a curated record. The transcript has 2 exons.